GUGUGACUGCGUACCUUUUGUAUAAUGGGUCAGCGACUUAUAUUCUGUAGCAAGGUUAACCGAAUAGGGGAGCCGAAGGGAAACCGAGUCUUAACUGGGCGUUAAGUUGCAGGGUAUAGACCCGAAACCCGGUGAUCUAGCCAUGGGCAGGUUGAAGGUUGGGUAACACUAACUGGAGGACCGAACCGACUAAUGUUGAAAAAUUAGCGGAUGACUUGUGGCUGGGGGUGAAAGGCCAAUCAAACCGGGAGAUAGCUGGUUCUCCCCGAAAGCUAUUUAGGUAGCGCCUCGUGAAUUCAUCUCCGGGGGUAGAGCACUGUUUCGGCAAGGGGGUCAUCCCGACUUACCAACCCGAUGCAAACUGCGAAUACCGGAGAAUGUUAUCACGGGAGACACACGGCGGGUGCUAACGUCCGUCGUGAAGAGGGAAACAACCCAGACCGCCAGCUAAGGUCCCAAAGUCAUGGUUAAGUGGGAAACGAUGUGGGAAGGCCCAGACAGCCAGGAUGUUGGCUUAGAAGCAGCCAUCAUUUAAAGAAAGCGUAAUAGCUCACUGGUCGAGUCGGCCUGCGCGGAAGAUGUAACGGGGCUAAACCAUGCACCGAAGCUGCGGCAGCGACGCUUAUGCGUUGUUGGGUAGGGGAGCGUUCUGUAAGCCUGUGAAGGUGUGCUGUGAGGCAUGCUGGAGGUAUCAGAAGUGCGAAUGCUGACAUAAGUAACGAUAAAGCGGGUGAAAAGCCCGCUCGCCGGAAGACCAAGGGUUCCUGUCCAACGUUAAUCGGGGCAGGGUGAGUCGACCCCUAAGGCGAGGCCGAAAGGCGUAGUCGAUGGGAAACAGGUUAAUAUUCCUGUACUUGGUGUUACUGCGAAGGGGGGACGGAGAAGGCUAUGUUGGCCGGGCGACGGUUGUCCCGGUUUAAGCGUGUAGGCUGGUUUUCCAGGCAAAUCCGGAAAAUCAAGGCUGAGGCGUGAUGACGAGGCACUACGGUGCUGAAGCAACAAAUGCCCUGCUUCCAGGAAAAGCCUCUAAGCAUCAGGUAACAUCAAAUCGUACCCCAAACCGACACAGGUGGUCAGGUAGAGAAUACCAAGGCGCUUGAGAGAACUCGGGUGAAGGAACUAGGCAAAAUGGUGCCGUAACUUCGGGAGAAGGCACGCUGAUAUGUAGGUGAAGUCCCUCGCGGAUGGAGCUGAAAUCAGUCGAAGAUACCAGCUGGCUGCAACUGUUUAUUAAAAACACAGCACUGUGCAAACACGAAAGUGGACGUAUACGGUGUGACGCCUGCCCGGUGCCGGAAGGUUAAUUGAUGGGGUCAGCGCAAGCGAAGCUCUUGAUCGAAGCCCCGGUAAACGGCGGCCGUAACUAUAACGGUCCUAAGGUAGCGAAAUUCCUUGUCGGGUAAGUUCCGACCUGCACGAAUGGCGUAAUGAUGGCCAGGCUGUCUCCACCCGAGACUCAGUGAAAUUGAACUCGCUGUGAAGAUGCAGUGUACCCGCGGCAAGACGGAAAGACCCCGUGAACCUUUACUAUAGCUUGACACUGAACAUUGAGCCUUGAUGUGUAGGAUAGGUGGGAGGCUUUGAAGUGUGGACGCCAGUCUGCAUGGAGCCGACCUUGAAAUACCACCCUUUAAUGUUUGAUGUUCUAACGUUGACCCGUAAUCCGGGUUGCGGACAGUGUCUGGUGGGUAGUUUGACUGGGGCGGUCUCCUCCUAAAGAGUAACGGAGGAGCACGAAGGUUGGCUAAUCCUGGUCGGACAUCAGGAGGUUAGUGCAAUGGCAUAAGCCAGCUUGACUGCGAGCGUGACGGCGCGAGCAGGUGCGAAAGCAGGUCAUAGUGAUCCGGUGGUUCUGAAUGGAAGGGCCAUCGCUCAACGGAUAAAAGGUACUCCGGGGAUAACAGGCUGAUACCGCCCAAGAGUUCAUAUCGACGGCGGUGUUUGGCACCUCGAUGUCGGCUCAUCACAUCCUGGGGCUGAAGUAGGUCCCAAGGGUAUGGCUGUUCGCCAUUUAAAGUGGUACGCGAGCUGGGUUUAGAACGUCGUGAGACAGUUCGGUCCCUAUCUGCCGUGGGCGCUGGAGAACUGAGGGGGGCUGCUCCUAGUACGAGAGGACCGGAGUGGACGCAUCACUGGUGUUCGGGUUGUCAUGCCAAUGGCACUGCCCGGUAGCUAAAUGCGGAAGAGAUAAGUGCUGAAAGCAUCUAAGCACGAAACUUGCCCCGAGAUGAGUUCUCCCUGACUCCUUGAGAGUCCUGAAGGAACGUUGAAGACGACGACGUUGAUAGGCCGGGUGUGUAAGCGA
RNAcentral lists this ribosomal RNA (2305 nucleotides) under Escherichia coli. RNAcentral describes it as "bacterial LSU rRNA". It matches the Rfam family "Bacterial large subunit ribosomal RNA", at positions 591 to 2876 of the family's 2925-position model. The record is from RNAcentral. Lineage: Bacteria; Pseudomonadati; Pseudomonadota; Gammaproteobacteria; Enterobacterales; Enterobacteriaceae.